GUCGUGAGACAGUUCGGUCCCUAUCCGUCGUGGGCGUUGGAAGUUUGAGAGGAGCUGUCCUUAGUACGAGAGGACCGGGAUGGACACACCGCUGGUGUACCAGUUGUUCCGCCAGGAGCAUCGCUGGGUAGCUACGUGUGGAAGGGAUAAGUGCUGAAAGCAUCUAAGCAUGAAGCCCCCCUCAAGAUGAGACUUCCCAUCUAUUCGAUAGAGUAAGAUCCCUCAGAGACGAUGAGGUAGAUAGGUUCGAGGUGGAAGCAUGGCGACAUGUGCAGCUGACGAAUACUAAUCGAUCGAGGACUUAUCUA
Molecule: ribosomal RNA, 308 nt
Filed under: Gracilibacillus kekensis
Lineage: Bacteria; Bacillati; Bacillota; Bacilli; Caryophanales; Bacillaceae
Description: bacterial LSU rRNA
Rfam family: Bacterial large subunit ribosomal RNA
Source: RNAcentral